AACGAAGCCCUUGAGAGCUCCACCUAGUUCACAGGAUAAAAUCCCGCAGCAGAACACGGAUUCAGCAAUGGCUAAACCCCAGGUGGUUGUAGCACUGGUAUUAAUGUCUAAGCUGUCUGUGAAUGCCCCUGAAUUUUAUCCAUCAGGUUAUUCUUUCAAUUACACAGAAUCCUAUGAGGAUGGUUGUGAGGAUUAUCCCACUCUAUCUGAAUAUGUUCAGGAAUUUUUGAAUCAUCUUACAGAGCAGCCUGGCAGUUUUGAAACUGAAAUUGAACAGUUUGCGGAGACCCUGAAUGGUUGGGUUACAACAGAUGAUGCUUUGCAAGAACUUGUGGAACUCAUAUAUCAACAGGCCACGUCUAUCCCGAAUUUCUCUUAUAUGGGAGCUCGCCUGUGUAAUUACCUGUCCCAUCAUCUGACAAUUAACCCACAGAGUGGCAAUUUCGGCCAAUUGCUACUUCAAAGAUGUCGGACUGAAUAUGAAGUUAAAGAUCAAGCUGCAAAAGGGGAUGAGAUUACUCGAAAACGAUUUCAUGCAUUUGUACUCUUUCUGGGAGAGCUUUAUCUUAACCUGGAGAUCAAGGGAACAAAUGGACAGGUUACGAGAGCAGGUAUUCUUCAGGUUGGUCUUCGAGAGCUGCUGAAUGCCUCUUUUCCAAUCCUAUGGAUGACAAGUUAAUUUGUGCAGUAAAAUUAUUGAAGUUGACAGGAUCAGUUUUGGAAGAUGCUUGGAAGGAAAAAGGAAAGAUGGAUAUGGAAGAAAUUAUUCAGAGAAUUAAAUAUGUUGUCCUAGAUGCAAACUGCAGUAGAGAUAUAAAACAGAUGCUCUUGAAGCUUGUGGAACUCCGGUCAAGUAACUGGGGUAGAGUCCAUGCAACUUCAACAUACAGAGAAGCAACACCAGAAAAUGAUCCUAACUACUUUAUGAAUGAACCAACAUCUUAUACAUCUGAUGGUGUUCCUUUCACUGCAGCUGAUCCAGAUUAUCAAAAGAAAUAUCAAGGGUUACUUGAAAGACAGGACUUUUUUCCAGAUUAUGAAGAAAAUGGAACAGAUUUAUCAGGGGCUGGUGAUCCAUACUUGGAUGAUAUUGAUGAUGAGAUGGACCCAGAGAUAGAAGAAGCUUAUGAAAAGUUUUGUUUGGAAUCAGAGCGUAAGCGAAAACAGUAAAGUUAAAUUUCAGCAUAUCAGUUUUAUAAAGCAGUUUAGGUAUGGUGAUUUAGCAGAACACAGGAAAGCAAGAAAAUGUGUCCUACUUAUACCAAAUUAAGGAUGUUGAGUUAUAUUACUAAUGUAUGCAACUUUAAUUUUGUUUAAUACUAUCUGCCAAAAUAAACUUUAUUCCCUAUAACUUAAAAUGUG
Molecule: RNA transcript, 1362 nt
Organism: Sapajus apella (tufted capuchin)
Lineage: Eukaryota; Metazoa; Chordata; Mammalia; Primates; Cebidae
Gene name: polyadenylate-binding protein-interacting protein 1 pseudogene
Exons: 1
Source: RefSeq, a predicted model, not a curated record